RNAcentral lists this ribosomal RNA (429 nucleotides) under Bacillota bacterium. Its description in RNAcentral is "Firmicutes bacterium partial 16S ribosomal RNA". It matches the Rfam family "Bacterial small subunit ribosomal RNA", at positions 355 to 776 of the family's 1533-position model. Lineage: Bacteria; Bacillati; Bacillota. The record is from RNAcentral.
UGGGGAAUCUUGCGCAAUGCGCGAAAGCGUGACGCAGCAACGCCGCGUGGGGGAAGAAGGCCUUCGGGUUGUAUACCCCUUUCAGUUGGGACGAAGCUUCGCCGGUGAAUAGCUGGCUGGACUGACGGUACCUUCACAAGAAGCCCCGGCCAACUACGUGCCAUCAGCCGCGGUAAUACGUAGGGGGCUAGCGUUGUCCGGAAUCAUUGGGCGUAAAGCGCGUGUAGGCGGUCCGGUAAGUCCGCUGUGAAAGUCGGGAGCUCAACCCUCGAAAGCCGGUAGAUACUGUUGGGCUAGAGUACGGAAGAGGCGAGUUGAAUUCCUGGUGUAGCGGUGAAAUGCGCAGAUAUCAGGAGGAACACCAAUUGCGAAGGCAGCUCGCUGGGACGUUACUGACGCUGAGACGCGAAAGCGUGGGGAGCAAACAGG